CUUCAUGAAUAACAAUACAGCCGAUCCAGGAUGUCAACAAAUAUGACAAUGGCGGCUGGAGUGAUUGUGGUGGGGACAAGAUAGCACUUCAAUACAACCAUUUCCUUGUGUUUUGCCUGCUGCCUUAGUCCAACAUGGGCAACCUCCCCCCGGAUCAGCCACGAUUGGAUGAGAGGAUCGAUACCGGUUCUACUGAUUGUAGAUUGUAGGUUAUUCACAAAACAGUUUGAAGUCGUUAUUACAAGGAGGUAACCCGACAAUGUCGUCGGAUAUGGCCUUUCGAAACCCUGCCUUCGUCCGUACGGACAGUGUACUUAUGACGAACACGACAGCUACCCCAUCAGAGGCUUCCGUCCAGAUGCGACCGGUCAUCGUCCAGCCAAAGAAAUUGGAUAUCUGUGGACUAACACACGGGGAGUUCAACUCCCAGCGCGGGGCGAGGACCUGCGCCUGGGUGGUUAUGAUAAGUAGCAUCAUCGUCUUCGGGUGCUGCAUCGUCCUGGGUGUGAAUGACGCACCUACCGGUUGGUCCGCCGUAAUCGGGGUCGUAUACUUCGUCGCCGGAAUUCUCUGCCACUUGUCUUGCUGGUAUAAGUUAACUUUGUGCAUUACUCUUGCGACUGUAGGAGUGCUCCUCUCUGCAGCAUUCGGAUUAGUCCAGGUCGUAUGGGCUGUAAUAGCCAUUGUGGAAUAUUCGGAACUCAACACGAAUCUUUUGAGUAGGACGUCUAAGUUUGUUUUGACAGCCAAUAUCUUGUUAGGGCUAAUGGCAAUUGCUACCAUAGCCAGUGCAAUUGUCUUCUCCAUUAAAGGAUGCAAGGUGCUUUUUUCACACAAGGACAAACGCUCUCAUGCAAAGUAUAGAGCGACGCAGAGAUACCCAAAACCGACUCACGAUGAAGUUUUCAUUUAGUCAUAUUUGUUUUGCUUUCGCAACCCUUUCAUAAAUCUAUCUAGAGGUGAAUGGUCAUGAUGUCUAGUUGAACGGCCAUCACACGCAUGCUACAGUGUUAAAAAUGAAUGACGCUUUCGCAUUCUCUAAGUUUUUGGAAGGCACGAAUAAGCUCUCUGCGGUGUCUUCGUUCGAAGAACCGUGCCGUUUAUGCACACGGACAUCUCACCAGUCGUGCAAGUUAUAGUUAAAAAAGUGGUCAUGACAUCAAUCGAUUAUAAUCAAAAAUCAACAUACAUGUACUCAAGUCACUCCUGUCCCUGAUAGAGAGGUGUCCUGAUUAGAGUGGUCAAAGUGGAUAGAAUAAACCAAUUUUGUACCAAAACUAGUGUCCUUAUCAGAGAGGUUGUCCUUAAUGGAGAGGUGUCUGCUAUGGGAGGUUCUACGGCAUCGGUAUAGGCCUAUGGUUGACUUAUGGAGUCUAAUUAAAAAAUGACUGAUUACCAAUGAAUACGAAACAAAUGUAAUACUUCGACUAUGAUUGAUGAAGUCUUAUUGUCUUCCUUUUCAUGUUUUCUUUCUGAUAAGGAACUUCUUUUUUUCACUCAGCCAAUGUUGGAAUUGUAUACAAAGGAGUAAACUUGGACUAUAUGUCAAA
Lineus longissimus is the source of this 1550-nucleotide long non-coding RNA. RefSeq lists it as uncharacterized. The record is from RefSeq and is a predicted model, not a curated record. The transcript is spliced from 2 exons. NCBI's taxonomy places the organism in Eukaryota, Metazoa, Nemertea, Pilidiophora, Heteronemertea, Lineidae.